UCUGGUGUACAACUUGAUGGA
This 21-nucleotide microRNA is filed under the name Medicago truncatula (barrel medic). Its description in RNAcentral is "mtr-miR5228". The record is from miRBase by way of RNAcentral. Lineage: Eukaryota; Viridiplantae; Streptophyta; Magnoliopsida; Fabales; Fabaceae.